GUGGAUUAGAUACCCUGGUAGUCCACGCUGUAAACGGUGUGCACUAGAUGUGGGGGGUCCUUUGGUCCCCCCCGUGUCCAAGCUAACGCGAUAAGUGCACCGCCUGGGGACUACGGCCGCAAGGCUAAAACUCAAAGGAAUUGACGGGGGCCCGCACAAGCGGUGGAGCAUGUGGCUUAAUUCGAGGCAACGCGAAGAACCUUACCUGGGCUUGACAUCGAGCGACCGGCGGUGAAAGCCGCCUUUCCCUUCGGGGACGCGAAGACAGGUGCUGCAUGGCCGUCGACAACU
This 291-nucleotide ribosomal RNA is filed under the name uncultured bacterium. RNAcentral describes it as "partial 16S ribosomal RNA". It matches the Rfam family "Bacterial small subunit ribosomal RNA", at positions 773 to 1060 of the family's 1533-position model. The record is from RNAcentral.